RNAcentral lists this ribosomal RNA (440 nucleotides) under uncultured bacterium. Its description in RNAcentral is "bacterial SSU rRNA". It matches the Rfam family "Bacterial small subunit ribosomal RNA", at positions 338 to 770 of the family's 1533-position model. The record is from RNAcentral.
CCUACGGGAGGCAGCAGUGGGGAAUCUUGCGCAAUGCGCGAAAGCGUGACGCAGCAACGCCGCGUGGAGGAAGACGGCCUUCGGGUUGUAAACUCCUUUCAGUUGGGACGAAGCUUCACUGGUUAAGAGCUGGUUGGAGUGACGGUACCUUUAGAAGAAGCCCCGGCUAACUACGUGCCAGCAGCCGCGGUAAUACGUAGGGGGCAAGCGUUGUCCGGAAUCAUUGGGCGUAAAGCGCGUGUAGGCGGCCCAGUAAGUCCGCUCUGAAAGCCCGGGGCUCAACCCCGGGAGGCGGGUGGAUACUGCUGGGCUCGAGUACGGAAGAGGCGAGUGGAAUUCCCGGUGUAGCGGUGAAAUGCGCAGAUAUCGGGAGGAACACCAAUGGCGAAGGCAGCUCGCUGGGACGUUACUGACGCUGAGACGCGAAAGCGUGGGGAGCA